GGAGCUAUAGCAAAGAGGGUUUAUGCGUGGGACUGAAAAUCCUGAGAUCCUGGUUCGAUGCCAGGUGGCUCCA
This 73-nucleotide transfer RNA is filed under the name Chryseobacterium sp. RNAcentral describes it as "tRNA-Phe". It matches the Rfam family "tRNA". Rfam says of the family: Transfer RNA (tRNA) molecules are approximately 80 nucleotides in length. Their secondary structure includes four short double-helical elements and three loops (D, anti-codon, and T loops). The record is from RNAcentral. Lineage: Bacteria; Pseudomonadati; Bacteroidota; Flavobacteriia; Flavobacteriales; Weeksellaceae.